Molecule: long non-coding RNA, 3903 nt
Organism: Mytilus californianus (California mussel)
Lineage: Eukaryota; Metazoa; Mollusca; Bivalvia; Mytilida; Mytilidae
Exons: 3
Source: RefSeq, a predicted model, not a curated record
ACGGAUGUUCUUAAACCCUGCUGACUGCCAUGGCGAUUGCCAAAAAAACGGAUCACCAGAUGUAAAAAUGGAUCUUAAUUUAUUAAUAAAAUACCAAACAGAAAACAAUAAACUUGCGGAAAAGAUGGUAUACCGCAAACAUGAGGUGCAAAAAUUUGUACACCAUAUCCGGAUUUCGACAAUUAAUGUCUCUUCAGUGAUGUUAGGAAUCGAAACGGUAUUUGGAAGGCCAUAUAAUUUACCUCAAUUUGGGAUUGACUCUUAAAUUUUGAAGAGUCAAAAUAGGAUGAACGGAUCAUAUAAACCCGAAGGCAAAUAUAAUACAAGCCCAAACGAAAAAAUAUAAACAAGUCUAAAUUGAAAACAACGUUCAAACCUAUGAUUGCGUUGGAUAAAAACCGCAAUUUUUAUACGUGUGCAUGCAAAACAAAUUUCUUGGUAGAGUGGUCUAAAUACAGCACAAACAACAUUUUCCAAAAGACCAAAAAGAGUGAAAAAGUAUAUUUUAACAAAACGCAUUUGACUAGCAGGUCGAACAACGGAUGUUCUUAAACCCUGCUGACUGCCAUGGCGAUUGCCAAAAAAACGGAUCACCAGAUGUAAAAAUGGAUCUUAAUUUAUUAAUUAAAUACCAAACAGAAAACAAUAAACUUGCGGAAAAGAUGGUAUACCGCAAACAUGAGGUGCAAAAAUUUGUACACCAUAUCCGAAUUUCGACAAUUAAUGUCUCUUCAGUGAUGUUAGGAAUCGAAACGGUAUUUGGAAGGCCAUAUAAUUUACCUCAAUUUGGGAUUGACUCUUAAAUUUUGAAGAGUCAAAAUAGGAUGAACGGAUCAUAUAAACCCGAAGGCAAAUAUAAUACAAGCCCAAACGAAAAAAUAUAAACAAGUCUAAAUUGAAAACAACGUUCAAACCUAUGAUUGCGUUGGAUAAAAACCGCAAUUUUUAUACGUGUGCAUGCAAAACAAAUUUCUUGGUAGAGUGGUCUAAAUACAGCACAAACAACAUUUUCCAAAAGACCAAAAAGAGUGAAAAAGUAUAUUUUAACAAAACGCAUUUGACUAGCAGGUCGAACAACGGAUGUUCUUAAACCCUGCUGACUGCCAUGGCGAUUGCCAAAAAAACGGAUCACCAGAUGUAAAAAUGGAUCUUAAUUUAUUAAUUAAAUACCAAACAGAAAACAAUAAACUUGCGGAAAAGAUGGUAUACCGCAAACAUGAGGUGCAAAAAUUUGUACACCAUAUCCGGAUUUCGACAAUUAAUGUCUCUUCAGUGAUGUUAGGAAUCGAAACGAUAUUUGGAAGGCCAUAUAAUUUACCUCAAUUUGGGAUUGACUCUUAAAUUUUGAAGAGUCAAAAUAGGAUGAACGGAUCAUAUAAACCCGAAGGCAAAUAUAAUACAAGCCCAAACGAAAAAAUAUAAACAAGUCUAAAUUGAAAACAACGUUCAAACCUAUGAUUGCGUUGGAUAAAAACCGCAAUUUUUAUACGUGUGCAUGCAAAACAAAUUUCUUGGUAGAGUGGUCUAAAUACAGCACAAACAACAUUUUCCAAAAGACCAAAAAGAGUGAAAAAGUAUAUUUUAACAAAACGCAUUUGACUAGCAGGUCGAACAACGGAUGUUCUUAAACCCUGCUGACUGCCAUGGCGAUUGCCAAAAAAACGGAUCACCAGAUGUAAAAAUGGAUCUUAAUUUAUUAAUUAAAUACCAAACAGAAAACAAUAAACUUGCGGAAAAGAUGGUAUACCGCAAACAUGAGGUGCAAAAAUUUGUACACCAUAUCCGGAUUUCGACAAUUAAUGUCUCUUCAGUGAUGUUAGGAAUCAAAACGGUAUUUGGAAGGCCAUAUAAUUUACCUCAAUUUGGGAUUGACUCUUAAAUUUUGAAGAGUCAAAAUAGGAUGAACGGAUCAUAUAAACCCGAAGGCAAAUAUAAUACAAGCCCAAACGAAAAAAUAUAAACAAGUCUAAAUUGAAAACAACGUUCAAACCUAUGAUUGCGUUGGAUAAAAACCGCAAUUUUUAUACGUGUGCAUGCAAAACAAAUUUCUUGGUAGAGUGGUCUAAAUACAGCACAAACAACAUUUUCCAAAAGACCAAAAAGAGUGAAAAAGUAUAUUUUAACAAAACGCAUUUGACUAGCAGGUCGAACAACGGAUGUUCUUAAACCCUGCUGACUGCCAUGGCGAUUGCCAAAAAAACGGAUCACCAGAUGUAAAAAUGGAUCUUAAUUUAUUAAUUAAAUACCAAACAGAAAACAAUAAACUUGCGGAAAAGAUGGUAUACCGCAAACAUGAGGUGCAAAAAUUUGUACACCAUAUCCGGAUUUCGACAAUUAAUGUCUCUUCAGUGAUGUUAGGAAUCGAAACGGUAUUUGGAAGGCCAUAUAAUUUACCUCAAUUUGGGAUUGACUCUUAAAUUUUGAAGAGUCAAAAUAGGAUGAACGGAUCAUAUAAACCCGAAGGCAAAUAUAAUACAAGCCCAAACGAAAAAAUAUAAACAAGUCUAAAUUGAAAACAACGUUCAAACCUAUGAUUGCGUUGGAUAAAAACCGCAAUUUUUAUACGUGUGCAUGCAAAACAAAUUUCUUGGUAGAGUGGUCUAAAUACAGCACAAACAACAUUUUCCAAAAGACCAAAAAGAGUGAAAAAGUAUAUUUUAACAAAACGCAUUUGACUAGCAGGUCGAACAACGGAUGUUCUUAAACCCUGCUGACUGCCAUGGCGAUUGCCAAAAAAACGGAUCACCAGAUGUAAAAAUGGAUCUUAAUUUAUUAAUUAAAUACCAAACAGAAAACAAUAAACUUGCGGAAAAGAUGGUAUACCGCAAACAUGAGGUGCAAAAAUUUGUACACCAUAUCCGGAUUUCGACAAUUAAUGUCUCUUCAGUGAUGUUAGGAAUCGAAACGGUAUUUGGAAGGCCAUAUAAUUUACCUCAAUUUGGGAUUGACUCUUAAAUUUUGAAGAGUCAAAAUAGGAUGAACGGAUCAUAUAAACCCGAAGGCAAAUAUAAUACAAGCCCAAACGAAAAAAUAUAAACAAGUCUAAAUUGAAAACAACGUUCAAACCUAUGAUUGCGUUGGAUAAAAACCGCAAUUUUUAUACGUGUGCAUGCAAAACAAAUUUCUUGGUAGAGUGGUCUAAAUACAGCACAAACAACAUUUUCCAAAAGACCAAAAAGAGUGAAAAAGUAUAUUUUAACAAAACGCAUUUGACUAGCAGGUCGAACAACGGAUGUUCUUAAACCCUGCUGACUGCCAUGGCGAUUGCCAAAAAAACGGAUCACCAGAUGUAAAAAUGGAUCUUAAUUUAUUAAUUAAAUACCAAACAGAAAACAAUAAACUUGCGGAAAAGAUGGUAUACCGCAAACAUGAGGUGCAAAAAUUUGUACACCAUAUCCGGAUUUCGACAAUUAAUGUCUCUUCAGUGAUGUUAGGAAUCGAAACGGUAUUUGGAAGGCCAUAUAAUUUACCUCAAUUUGGGAUUGACUCUUAAAUUUUGAAGAGUCAAAAUAGGAUGAACGGAUCAUAUAAACCCGAAGGCAAAUAUAAUACAAGCCCAAACGAAAAAAUAUAAACAAGUCUAAAUUGAAAACAACGUUCAAACCUAUGAUUGCGUUGGAUAAAAACCGCAAUUUUUAUACGUGUGCAUGCAAAACAAAUUUCUUGGUAGAGUGGUCUAAAUACAGCACAAACAACAUUUUCCAAAAGACCAAAAAGAGUGAAAAAGUAUAUUUUAACAAAACGCAUUUGACUAGCAGGUCGAACAACGGAUGUUCUUAAACCCUGCUGACUGCCAUGGCGAUUACUAAAAAAACGGAUCACCAGAUGUAAAAAUGGAUCUUAAUUUAUUAAUUAAAUACCAAACAGAAAACAAUAAACUUGCGGAAAAGAUGGUAUACCGCA